GUGGCAGCAACAAAUUUUCCCUAAUUUGGAGGCAGAGAAACGUGACUGCAGUCAUGCUCUGAGUGCGUGCACCGUGACGGCUCCACUCCGUCAGUCAUUAAGAGUGCAAGCCUGGGAAUGCUGGGCACCCCGUGGCUGGAAUAAGAGAGCUGCACACUGAAGUGGGAAAUGGCAGAUAUAGGCUGGUGGUGAGGAAAGUCCAGGACUGCCAGUGUGUGUUCAGAUACCUCAGACUUUCACAAUGGAUGCCAUAAAAUGUGGAGGAUUCUCGAAGGUGAAAGACGCUGAUGAGGAAAUUCAGACAAUCUGUGAUGAGCUUCCAUGUUAUGGAGGAGAAGCUGUAGUUACUGGUGUGGAAGACCAUCAUGACAAAGAUCCCAUCCAAUCUUUUUAAUGAAUCACACUUUGUAUUUCAGCUGCUCUCUGUUAUAGGUUAUAAUCAAUAUAUUAAAACUCUUUAUUUCUAGACAUAUAUAACUGACUUGAGUUCAUCAUUUGAAGCAUUAAAAGUUGAAUUCUGUAAAAAACUAAAUGAUUGUGAUCGUUGAUUUCUUGCUAGUUAUUAACUUUUACCAUUGCAUUUACCAUCAUUGCAGCUACUGAUGAUUUUUUGAUUUUCAUAUUUGCUUCAUCUAUAAUAACUGUAAGGUUAACAGUACUCUUGUCUGAAUUAUCUCUGUGUGUAUGUGUGUGUGAGGGAAGACUCUAACAGAGUCCCAAAAGUCCAACACAUGUUAUCCUGUUUUUAGAGACAUAAUUUGUGCAGCAUACACAGAAUCUAACCAGUAAUUAAAGGAUUAUUCAGGCUACUAAUCUCUCUAAUUUAUUGUGUUCUACAAUGAUGGACAUGGUCGUCCAUACAGAAGAUAAUCAGUAUUAAGAUGUCAGUCACAGCUGAAUUUCUUUUUAAUCUUGCAUUAGUCCCACUUGUCCAGCAGAUGUCCUCGUUAUGUCUCCUGCACAUCUUGAUUGUUUGUAGGUCUCAACCAUGCUUUGACCAGAUCAUUCAGCCUUCCUUCAUUUAUUUAAAUGUAUUAACUAUUUAAUCUGGUAGACCAUCUUGUAGUGGCCUUCAACACGUCUUUUUCAGAUGUUUGUCUGUACUGCUUUUUUUUCUUUAGCUUGUGUCACUUUGUGGCUGUAUCUUCAUUUCCCUGUUUUAAUUUUGAUGCUGUUUGCAGUCAUUAAAAUCUCCUUUUUGUUUUUUUUUGUUUUUUGCAUCUAACAUUUCCAGCUCUAAAUGUUAACUAGAAAAGAGUAAUAAUAAGGCAGAGCCCCCUGAAACUCUCUCAAAAGUAUGUGAAGAGAAGAUUCCCCCUGGUGGAAAAAAAAACAAACAAAACAAAAAUGAAAAAACACCACCAACAACAGGGAAAAGUAAAAUCUAAUAUCUACAGUCUUAAAAAACAAAUAAUAGUAAGAAAAUAAUAUCUAAACCACAGAGAGGAGUAUACACUAGAGCAGGAGUGUCAAACUCCAGGCCUCGAGGGCCGGUGUCCUGCAAGUUUUAAA
Oreochromis niloticus (Nile tilapia) is the source of this 1512-nucleotide RNA transcript. RefSeq lists it as uncharacterized. The transcript is spliced from 4 exons. The record is from RefSeq and is a predicted model, not a curated record. Lineage: Eukaryota; Metazoa; Chordata; Actinopteri; Cichliformes; Cichlidae.